Molecule: ribosomal RNA, 301 nt
Filed under: uncultured bacterium
Lineage: Bacteria
Description: partial 16S ribosomal RNA
Rfam family: Bacterial small subunit ribosomal RNA
Source: RNAcentral
CAGUAGCCGCGGUAAUACGGAGGAUCCAAGCGUUAUCCGGAUUUAUUGGGUUUAAAGGGUGCGUAGGCGGCCUAUUAAGUCAGGGGUGAAAGACGGUAGCUUAACUAUCGCAGUGCCUUUGAUACUGAUGGGCUUGAAUACACUUGAGGUAGGCGGAAUGUGACAAGUAGCGGUGAAAUGCAUAGAUAUGUCACAGAACACCAAUUGCGAAGGCAGCUUACUAAAGUGUCAUUGACGCUGAGGCACGAAAGCGUGGGGAUCAAACAGGAUUAGAUACCCGAGUAGUCCCUGUCUCUUAUAC